ACUACGGGUGGCAGCAGUGGGGAAUAUUUCACAAUGGGGGAAACCCUGAUGCAGCGACGCCGCGUGAGUGAAGAAGUCAUUCGUUAUGUAAAGCUCUAUCAGCAGGGAGGAAAAUGACGGUACCUGAGUAAGAAGCCCCGGCUCACUACGUGCCAGCAGCCGCGGUAAUACGUAGGGGGCACGCGUUAUCCGGAUUUACUGGGUGUAAAGGGAGCGUAGACGGCAGUGCAAGUCUGGAGUGAAAGGCGGGGGCUCGCCCCCCGGACUGCUCGGGUAACUGUACGGCUGGAGUGCAGGAGAGGUAAGUGGAAUUCCUGGUGUAGCGGUGAAAUGCGUAGAUAUUAGGAGGAACACCAGUGGCGAAGGCGGCUGACUGGACUGUAACUGACGUUGAGGCUCGAAAGCGUGGGGAGCAAACAGGAUUAGAUACCCGAGUAGUC
This 440-nucleotide ribosomal RNA is filed under the name uncultured bacterium. Its description in RNAcentral is "partial 16S ribosomal RNA". It matches the Rfam family "Bacterial small subunit ribosomal RNA", at positions 338 to 795 of the family's 1533-position model. The record is from RNAcentral.